Molecule: long non-coding RNA, 352 nt
Organism: Gadus macrocephalus (Pacific cod)
Lineage: Eukaryota; Metazoa; Chordata; Actinopteri; Gadiformes; Gadidae
Exons: 3
Source: RefSeq, a predicted model, not a curated record
CCAGGAGAGACUGAGAGAGACCAGGAGAGACUGAGACACCAGGAGAGACAAGUCAAGUCUAAUCAGUCACAACAGAGCAAGAGAGUCUAGUAGAGUCUGGACCGGACCAGUAGAGACCAGUACAGACUAGACCAGACCAGGUCCAGGUCUCUAGGGGGUCCGGGUCUCUAGGGGGUCCGGGUCUCUAGGGGGUCUGGGUCUCUAGGGGGUCCGGGUCUCUAGGGGGUCCGGGUCUUGGGUCUCCUGGCUGAGCGGAGACUGUCUUGUGAUGAAGAGGAGGAUCAGAGGAUGAAGAACAGCAUCAGGACCACCAGGAGGAUGAGGAGCAGGACCCCGAUCGCACACCACUGGC